Molecule: ribosomal RNA, 373 nt
Filed under: uncultured bacterium
Lineage: Bacteria
Description: bacterial SSU rRNA
Rfam family: Bacterial small subunit ribosomal RNA
Source: RNAcentral
UAAUACGGAGGAUCCGAGCGUUAUCCGGAUUUAUUGGGUUUAAAGGGUGCGUAGGCUGUUUGGUAAGUUAGAGGUGAAAUCUCGACGCUCAACGUCGAAACUGCCUCUGAUACUGCCAAGCUAGAGUACAGUUGCUGUGGGCGGAAUGAGUAGUGUAGCGGUGAAAUGCUUAGAUAUUACUCGGAACACCGAUUGCGAAGGCAGCUCACAAAGCUGUUACUGACGCUGAUGCACGAAAGCGUGGGGAGCAAACAGGAUUAGAUACCCUGGUAGUCCACGCCGUAAACGAUGAUAACUCGUUGCCGGCGAUAUAUUGUCGGUGACUUAGCGAAAGCGUUAAGUUAUCCACCUGGGGAGUACGUUCGCAAGAAUG